UCCCGGGCCCGUUGAUCCCAUGCCAGGCUGCCGCCCCUCCUCCCGUUCGUGACACCCCCAAAGAAUCAAUUAGCCUUCGUUCGGUUCCCAUUGCAGGAGUUAUCAGUGGCUUAAUUGACUGAUCGGUGAAAAUGGCUGAAGAAUCCUGAAUUACUCUAGCGUCUCUUCACCCAGUGCUUCUACAAGACAACCAAUUAUAAGACAGAUGAAGUUUUCUUUAAUAUCUUUGAACCUCAGUUCUCUCAUCUAUGGAAUUAAGGAGCAAUGAAUGACUGUUAAUAACGAGAAGCCAAUUUGCAUUUCCAAUGAACCACAUCCUGAUUUCUGGGUUGGCUAGAUGCUGUGAUUUCCUACGAGAACUGGGAGCUGAGUGGAUGUUACCCAUUGAGGUCAACCAUGGUCUUGGUUUGGGAAUGAGGUGAGUGUACUGAAUGAUAUAUCCUGUUGAAUAAUGUGCCAAAUGCCACCGAACCACCUGAGGUAACAUUCAGUAAGAUCAGAAAGAUCUUGACUAUGAAAUACUGGGUUAGAGAGCAUGAAGCAACCCACAUCACGACUCCAAUCACCCUGUGUUUCAAAGUUAGUUCAUCGCCAUGAACCUGGGAAUAAACUGACAUUUGGCUGUCCCUAACAUUGUGAGAUACUCAACUUUCAUAAUAAAAUCUGCCAGUGUGCAAGUCACAACAGGGAUUCUCCACCACCCCAGUCAGGCUGGGUAAGGACCAGAAAAUCCUGCUGUGUUCCCUCUACUGUGUCAAUGACAUCCUCUUUGGAAAGAAGAAACUCAGAAGCAAAG
Non-coding RNA from Odocoileus virginianus texanus, 796 nucleotides. Lineage: Eukaryota; Metazoa; Chordata; Mammalia; Artiodactyla; Cervidae. The record is from RefSeq and is a predicted model, not a curated record.